UAGUAUUUCACACGUCAAACACAUACUACAAAUAUAGUUCUUUUGCGUGUAUAUUCUCAUCAAUCAUAUACUCAUGAAUGAUCAUCACGUUCGUGCAUAAAGAAAAAAGUUUAAACUUCAAUAAAAAAUAUGAAAAACGACGUUUAACGCUUAAACCAUAGAUGAAGGUCUAUCAUAACACGAAAUCUAAUACACUAUAUAUCCUACUCUAUUAUUAAAAUUGAUCUCAUGUAAAACAUGGUGCCCAAUUUCUUGCUUUUGAUCUCCUCACAUAAUAAAUAUAACAUAUUGGAGUUAUAUUUACCAUAUAACUUUAAGAUAAAAGGAUAGAAACAUCUUCGCCAUGGCUUGGAUCCGUAUAGCAUUCAACAUGAUUUUUCCUGGAUAAAGAAGAGAAACAAACGCAAAUAAGGAUAAAUACAGAGAUUGUAAGGAUAGGACAAUAAUCCAAAUUGUUGACUUUUAAAUAAUAAGCAAUUGGUUAUGAUGGAUUUAACUAUUCUACCUUGUGAACCCUACAUUCCAAACUAACACAGAUCAUUAAUAUUUUGCUUUAUUUGAAUUACUUAGUGACAAAAGUCAAGAGAACUAUCAUGCACCGACAUGGACAAGUGAACCUGCAACAAAAACAUAUAAAGUUUUCAUACACUUAACUAAAUCAAGCUCCAUGAACUAUGUAAGUUACCUGAACUUAAGACUAAUAGUACGCUCACUAACCAUCAAGCUUUCUUGGCAGCUGCAUACUCGAUAAUGUCACCCUCACUUUGUCCAUAUUUAUAAUAUGAUAAUGCUGAAUCAACACGAGUUAGAAAGGAUAGAUGGCCAGAGUAAAAGAAACAGUUUGCUUAAGGGUGGAAAGAAAAUGAACAUAGUAAAAUAAGGCACGAGUUUGUCACUAAUUGUGAACUUGUGUACUGCUGAAUGAACCUCCACCACAUCAGUAGCUAUAUAAGUACCUAUUGCAGGUGCGAUGUGCAAUACAUCAAGGAAAAAAGUGGACAUUCAAGUUCAGCUCCUAAAUGAAGAGAAUCAAAUGUGAUUCAUCAGUUAAAGCUUACAUGUCUUGGAUAUGUGUAAUUUUGCUAUCUACCUGAUAGAUAAAACCAAAAUUUUAAAUUUCCAAAGCAACAGACUAUAUGAGGACAAUAUAAAAGACCUCCACUCUUCAGUCAAACCUAGUAUAAAUGGAUUACAUCUGUACCAGUGGCUUUCAGAAUCCAACAUAUGUAGUUGGUUCAGCAAUUGACAAUACAAAGAAAGAAUUACUAAUUCUCGAUUUGGUUAAAUUGAUUUCUCUUGUCGAGGUAAAACUCACAUAAUGACAGAAAUAAGGAAUAAAAUAAUACCUGGGUGAAAGUGUUAUCCAACCAUCCAUGUCACUACUAAUUAGACAUGAAAGUGAAGCACCGUUGAGGUUUUGCGUGCAAAAUCAUGUAAGCGAAUGUGAGGAAUUUGAUCUAUUGCCAACUUGCAUUAUGUGAAUCAUGAAAGAGUCCAAAUCCAAUCUGCUAACGUCAGCAACACUUGUAGGCAAACAUUUUGCUCAAUCAUUGGUAGUGAGUUAUUUAGCAGUACCAUUGACAGCAUGAUGGUGUUGAGGUAUCCUCAAUGCAGAGUUCUGUUAAGAAAGAAAUAAAAUAUCAAUCUCUUAAAAUGGAUUGACAAUCUAGAAUCAAACUCUCAAAAUGGCAUAAAUCGACUGGAAUAACAAAUUUUCGAAACCACUAAGAGGAAAGAACAUCAUAAAUCCAAUGAAAUAGAGUGAGAUGAUAUAUUAUAAAAAAAGAGUGAGAUGAUGAUUAAACACUUAGGAAGAUCAGGAACCCACUGUAUAUUGAACCCUUUUGCCGGCACCGAAUAGACAUGGGAAAGCUCCAAUAUUUUUUAUGGAAUAUGGAAGUGGGAAAAUCAGGAACCCAUCCUCAGCAGAAUCUUUCAUCGGCAAUAAGAAUCUAGAGAUAUUGGACAAGAUGGAGUUGUCGGCUAGUUCUUAUUGUGAAAAGAGGCGACAACAACGUAUAUAAAAUCGGAGAAGAGAACAACCACAUAGUCCAACCUUAUCGUUCUGAGUGCGAAGAAGUCCAAACAUGCUAAAGCCGGAGCUGAAGCUCAGCAAAUGAGAUUUCAGGCAAUACAUCGCAGCAAGAUAUAUUUGGGGAAAGGAUAAGGGGAAGAGAAAGUGAAAACAGUGUAUGGGAAGCAGAGAGGAAAAGGAGAAUAAUGAUAAGAUCGAGGAAGAUAUCGUAAUAGGGGAAAAAUAAGAAAAAAGGAGAGAAGGGAUUUCGGUCGGAAUUCAGUUUAGUAAAACUGAGCUUUAUUUAGUUUUAACUUGAAACUGAAUGAAUUACAAUCGCAGCUGGGAUCGAAAAAGAAACUGAAUGGGCCAACCACUUGAUCGUCGGGAGAAUUAAUUCCGGAAGCGAAACAAAACCAGAAAUAUUCGGGCGAGAAAUCGUGAAGAACCAUAGUCAGCAAACUGACAAACUGAUUCUGUCUGAUAACAAAAGUUGAAGGAAGAAGCAUCAAUGGAGGAUGCAUUGGGUGAAGGUGAUGAAAAGGCAGGCAUUGGGAGAAGAUAAUGGAGGUUAACAGGUAAUGUGGUGGGGUCAAAAUAAGCAACCAGCAGGUCACAAGGCAAAAAUGGUUACUAAUUCAAUUCCAA
This 2662-nucleotide long non-coding RNA is filed under the name Linum usitatissimum (flax). RNAcentral describes it as "long non-coding RNA (LUSI_LNC005404)". Lineage: Eukaryota; Viridiplantae; Streptophyta; Magnoliopsida; Malpighiales; Linaceae. The record is from RNAcentral.